UGGGGAAUAUUGCACAAUGGACGGAAGUCUGAUGCAGCAACGCCGCGUGCGGGAUGACGGCCUUCGGGUUGUAAACCGCUUUUUCUCAUGACGAAGUUUUUUGACGGUAGUGGGGGAAGAAGCACCGGCUAACUACGUGCCAGCAGCCGCGGUGAUACGUAGGGCGCGAGCGUUGUCCGGAAUUAUUGGGCGUAAAGAGCUUGUAGGCGGUUUGUCGCGUCGAUAGUGCAAACUCAGUGUUUAACGCUGAGCCUGCUGUUGAAACGGGCAGACUAGAGGAAGGUAGGGGAGAAUGGAAUUCCCGGUGGAGCGGUGGAAUGCGCAGAUAUCGGGAGGAACACCGGUGGCGAAGGCGGUUCUCUGGGCCUUUCCUGACGCUGAGAAGCGAAAGCGGGGGGAGCGAACAGG
This 408-nucleotide ribosomal RNA is filed under the name Fusobacteriota bacterium. RNAcentral describes it as "Fusobacteria bacterium partial 16S ribosomal RNA". It matches the Rfam family "Bacterial small subunit ribosomal RNA", at positions 355 to 776 of the family's 1533-position model. The record is from RNAcentral. Lineage: Bacteria; Fusobacteriati; Fusobacteriota.